RNAcentral lists this ribosomal RNA (469 nucleotides) under uncultured bacterium. Its description in RNAcentral is "partial 16S ribosomal RNA". It matches the Rfam family "Bacterial small subunit ribosomal RNA", at positions 28 to 507 of the family's 1533-position model. The record is from RNAcentral.
GAUGAACGCUGGCGGCGCGCCUAACACAUGCAAGUCGAACGGUUAAAGCACCUUUUAGGUGUGUAUAAAGUGGCGAACGGCUGAGUAACACGUGGGCAACCUGCCCUCCUCUUGGGGAUAGCCUCGGGAAACCGAGGAUAAUACCCGAUACUUCAAUGUGGCCGCAUGACGACAUUGAGAAAGCUUUUGCGGAGAAGGAUGGGCCCGCGGCCUGUUAGCUUGUUGGUGGGGUAGAGGCCUACCAAGGCAAUGAUGGGUAGCUGGGUUGAGAGACCGACCAGCCAGAGUGGGACUGAGACACGGCCCAGACUCCUACGGGAGGCAGCAGUGGGGAAGCUUGCACAAUGGGCGAAAGCCUGAUGCAGCGACGCCGCGUGCGGGACGAAGGCCUUCGGGUUGGAAACCGCUUUCAGCAGGGACGAGGCGAUAAGUGACGGUACCUGCAGAAGAAGCCCCGGCUAACUACGUG